GGCGCAAGGGUGCGUAACACGUGGAUAAUUUGCCGUAAAGUUGGGGAUAACACCGAGAAAUCGGAGCUAAUACCGAAUGUGGAAGCUGGGGGGCAUCUCCCGGCUUCUGAAGUUGGGGACCGCAAGGCCUGACGCUUUACGAUAAGUCCGCGGCCUAUCAGGUAGUUGGCGGGGUAACGGCCCACCAAGCCUAAGACGGGUAGCUGGUCUGAGAGGACGACCAGCCACACUGGAACUGAGACACGGUCCAGACACCUACGGGUGGCAGCAGUCGAGAAUUUUUCACAAUGGGCGCAAGCCUGAUGGAGCGACGCCGCGUGGGGGAUGAAUGGCUUCGGCCCGUAAACCCCUGUCAUUCGGGAACAAUUCGUUCGGGUUAACACCCUGGACGUUGAUAGUACCGGAAGAGGAAGGGACGGCUAACUCUGUGCCAGCAGCCGCGGUAAUACAGAGGUCCCAAGCGUUGUUCGGAUUA
RNAcentral lists this ribosomal RNA (475 nucleotides) under uncultured Verrucomicrobiota bacterium. RNAcentral describes it as "bacterial SSU rRNA". It matches the Rfam family "Bacterial small subunit ribosomal RNA", at positions 97 to 552 of the family's 1533-position model. The record is from RNAcentral. Lineage: Bacteria; Pseudomonadati; Verrucomicrobiota.